UACGGGGGGAGCAAGCGUUGUUCGGAUUUACUGGGCGUAAAGGGCGCGUAGGCGGCCACAACAAGUCACUUGUGAAAUCUCCGGGCUUAACCCGGUAGCGGCCAAGUGAUACUGUUGGGCUAGAGUGCGGAAGGGGCAACUGGAAUUCUCGGUGUAGCGGUGAAAUGCGUAGAUAUCGAGAGGAACACCUGCGGCGAAGGCGGGUUGCUGGGCCGGUACUGACGCUGAGACGCGAAAGCGUGGGGAGCGAACAGG
RNAcentral lists this ribosomal RNA (255 nucleotides) under uncultured bacterium. RNAcentral describes it as "partial 16S ribosomal RNA". It matches the Rfam family "Bacterial small subunit ribosomal RNA", at positions 524 to 776 of the family's 1533-position model. The record is from RNAcentral.